GAGAAAGGGAGCAAUCCUGAGUAAAGUGGCGUACGGGUGAGUAACACGUGGAUCAUCUACCUUCUAGUGGGGAAUACCUCCGGGAAAUUGGAGACAAUACCGCAUAAGCUCGUAAGAGGAAAGCAGCAAUGCGCUGGAAGAGGAGUCCGCGGCUGAUUAGCUAGUUGGUGAGGUAACGGCCCACCAAGGCGAAGAUCGGUAGCCGGCCUGAGAGGGCACACGGCCACACUGGCACUGAAACACGGGCCAGACUCCUACGGGAGGCAGCAGUGGGGAAUCUUGCACAAUGGAGGAAACUCUGAUGCAGCGACGCCGCGUGAGUGAUGAAGCCCUUCGGGGUGUAAAGCUCUUUCGACAGGAACGAUAAUGACGGUACCUGAAGAAGAAGCUGCGGCUAACUACGUGCCAGCAGCCGCGGUAAUACGUAGGCAGCAAGCGUUGUUCGGAAUUACUGGGCGUAAAGAGUGUGUAGGCGGUGCUCUAAGUCUGUUGUGAAAUCUCCCGGCUCAACUGGGAGGGUGCGGCGGAAACUAGAGUGCUAGAGGGUGGGAGAGGUAAGCGGAAUUCCUGGUGUAGCGGUGAAAUGCGUAGAUAUCA
Molecule: ribosomal RNA, 597 nt
Filed under: uncultured bacterium
Lineage: Bacteria
Description: bacterial SSU rRNA
Rfam family: Bacterial small subunit ribosomal RNA
Source: RNAcentral